CCUACGGGAGGCAGCAGUAAGGAAUAUUGGUCAAUGGACGAAAGUCUGAACCAGCCAUGCCGCGUGAAGGAUGAAGGCCCUCUGGGUUGUAAACUUCUUUUAUCUGGGACGAAAAAAGGGUAUUCUUACUCACUUGACGGUACCAGAGGAAUAAGCACCGGCUAACUCCGUGCCAGCAGCCGCGGUAAU
This 189-nucleotide ribosomal RNA is filed under the name uncultured bacterium. RNAcentral describes it as "partial 16S ribosomal RNA". It matches the Rfam family "Bacterial small subunit ribosomal RNA", at positions 338 to 524 of the family's 1533-position model. The record is from RNAcentral.